This 129-nucleotide non-coding RNA is filed under the name Erpetoichthys calabaricus (reedfish). Lineage: Eukaryota; Metazoa; Chordata; Cladistia; Polypteriformes; Polypteridae. The record is from RNAcentral.
UUGUUGUAUGAAAGGAGAGAAGAUUAGCACUCCCCUUGACAAUGAUGGAAGUGGUCCUAGUGGCCUUAUAAUACAUAUACGGUUAAGGCAUUGCCACAUACUUUGUGACAUCUCUAACCAUGUAAUCAU